UACGUAUGGAGCAAGCGUUAUCCGGAUUUACUGGGUGUAAAGGGAGCGUAGGCGGCCUGGUAAGUCUGGUGUGAAAUACCGGGGCCCAACCCCGGGACUGCAUUGGAAACUGCCAGGCUGGAGUGUCGGAGGGGCAGGCGGAAUUCCUAGUGUAGCGGUGAAAUGCGUAGAUAUUAGGAGGAACACCGGUGGCGAAGGCGGCCUGCUGGACGACAACUGACGCUGAGGCUCGAAAGCGUGGGGAGCAAACAGG
Molecule: ribosomal RNA, 253 nt
Filed under: uncultured bacterium
Lineage: Bacteria
Description: partial 16S ribosomal RNA
Rfam family: Bacterial small subunit ribosomal RNA
Source: RNAcentral